Molecule: ribosomal RNA, 327 nt
Filed under: uncultured eukaryote
Lineage: Eukaryota
Description: partial 18S ribosomal RNA
Rfam family: Eukaryotic small subunit ribosomal RNA
Source: RNAcentral
CCCUUAGAUGUUCUGGGCCGCACGCGCGCUACACUGACGAAUGCAACGAGCUUAUAACCUUGGCCGAAAGGUCUGGGUAAUCUCCAAAUUUCGUCGUGAUGGGGAUAGAUUAUUGCAAUUAUUAAUCUUCAACGAGGAAUGCCUAGUAAGCGCAAGUCAUCAGCUUGCGUUGAUUACGUCCCUGCCCUUUGUACACACCGCCCGUCGCUCCUACCGAUUGAAUGGUCCGGUGAAGCGUUCGGACCGUGGCCUUUGGACGGUUCGCCGUCUGGUGGCUGCGGGAAGUUCGUUAAACCUUAUCAUUUAGAGGAAGGAGAAGUCGUAACA